UACAUUGUUUUUCUUGCUUCUUUCGGGGGGGGGGUAUAGGAGUCCAUUAUAUAACACACACAGACGUGACUGAUUAGGCAGGACAGAAACAUGCUAAGCAUACAAAGUAAACAAAUGUCCACUUUUUUUGGAAAAGUGAUAAUAAAACACGCAUGUUAAUGUCAGAUAGAGACAUUACAAUAAUUAGUGUUAGAUUGUCUACAUGAAUCAAAGUAAAAACUGCUACAAUACAUGCUUUUCUCUAUGAUUGUAUUGAGUCUAAUUUUGUGUGAUCUCCCUCUGUUUCCCAGAAGCCCUAGGUUGCCCUCUGGUUACCAGGUGAUCUUGUUUUUAAAGGUCUUUCCAUCUGAGUCCACCGAGAGCACGGUGUUGACAUCUCUCUUUUGCCUUUCCUUCUUUCUUACAAAGUCAGCCAUGGCACACAUAAUCCCAUUACUGCGGAGCUUUGAAAGAGGGCACAGAAAAUGGGAGAAAGAGAGACGAGCUACGUGAACAACUCUUAUUGCACACAACAGUUUUUAAUGUAAAAUUGAUAGAUUGAAGCACAGAAGCGCCUCUAUCUGGACGUACAGAGCAUGCUGGAUGAUAUGGGAGUCUUUACUGUUUACUGUAAACUGACUUUGCACAGAGGUUAAAUAUGUUAGUAUGCAUUGAUUUGAUUUGUUUCAUCCAAAUGUUGAUAUUCUGUCUUUGUUUACAUCAUCAUUUAUCAUUCAAAUGCCUUUUUAAUUUCUGCAGAAGAUCUUGAUCAGAACGUUAAAAUCAGUCACAAUAUAAUGUUUUCUUAUUUAAAAUGUUUUUAUUGUUAUAUUAUAUUACAGCUCUGUUUGAAGACUAACAUUUAAAGGAAUAGUUCUCACUAUAAUUUUGCUUACUUACAGUUCAGAGGUUGUAAACAUUCAUGACUUUCUUUCUUUCUCUUUCUUUCUUUCUUUCUUUCUUUCCUUCUUUCGAACUCGAAAUUAGAUAUUCUGAAUAUUUUCCAACAUUCUCCAGUACAUCUUUGAAUUCAACAAAAGAAAGAAAGUCAAACCAGUUUAGAACAACUGGAGGAGUAAAUGAUGACAGAAUUCAUUUUCUGACAAACUAUGCUUUAGCUCAUUUAUCCGAAAGUUUAUCGCAGCUUUUGAGUAUAAUUUACAUUUGUGUAUGUUAAAUUCAAACUGUUUAGGCUUUUGAAAACAGUUUCUUAAGCUCAAAUGCUGCAUUUACUGUAAAAUUGUAACCCUGUAAAAAAUAACACCUUAAAAUAAAAUAACAUUUUUCUUUUAA
This is a non-coding RNA of Danio rerio (zebrafish), 1272 nucleotides long. NCBI's taxonomy places the organism in Eukaryota, Metazoa, Chordata, Actinopteri, Cypriniformes, Danionidae. The record is from RefSeq and is a predicted model, not a curated record.